RNAcentral lists this ribosomal RNA (221 nucleotides) under Enterobacter sp. RNAcentral describes it as "partial 16S ribosomal RNA". It matches the Rfam family "Bacterial small subunit ribosomal RNA", at positions 441 to 669 of the family's 1533-position model. Lineage: Bacteria; Pseudomonadati; Pseudomonadota; Gammaproteobacteria; Enterobacterales; Enterobacteriaceae. The record is from RNAcentral.
GAGGUUAAUAACCUCAGUGAUUGACGUUACUCGCAGAAGAAGCACCGGCUAACUCCGUGCCAGCAGCCGCGGUAAUACGGAGGGUGCAAGCGUUAAUCGGAAUUACUGGGCGUAAAGCGCACGCAGGCGGUCUGUCAAGUCGGAUGUGAAAUCCCCGGGCUCAACCUGGGAACUGCAUUCGAAACUGGCAGGCUAGAGUCUUGUAGAGGGGGGUAGAAUUC